RNAcentral lists this ribosomal RNA (465 nucleotides) under uncultured Treponema sp. RNAcentral describes it as "bacterial SSU rRNA". It matches the Rfam family "Bacterial small subunit ribosomal RNA", at positions 338 to 795 of the family's 1533-position model. Lineage: Bacteria; Pseudomonadati; Spirochaetota; Spirochaetia; Treponematales; Treponemataceae. The record is from RNAcentral.
CCUACGGGUGGCAGCAGCUAAGAAUAUUCCGCAAUGGACGGAAGUCUGACGGAGCGACGCCGCGUGGAUGAAGAAGGCUGAAAAGUUGUAAAAUCCUUUUGUUGAUGAAGAAUAAGGGUGAGAGGGAAUGCUCAUCUGAUGAUGGUAAUCGACGAAUAAGCCCCGGCUAAUUACGUGCCAACAGCCGCGGUAACACGUAAGGGGCGAGCGUUGUUCGGAAUUAUGGGGCGUAAAGGGCAUGUAGGCGGCUAUGUAAGCCUGAUGUGAAAUCCUGGGGCUUAACCCUAGAAUAGCAUUGGGUACUGUAUAGCUUGAAUUACGGAAGGGAAACUGGAAUUCCAAGUGUAGGGGUGGAAGCUGUAGAUAUUUGGAAGAACACCGGUGGCGAAGGCGGGUUUCUGGCCGAUAAUUGACGCUGAGAUGCGAAAGUGUGGGGAUCGAACAGGAUUAGAUACCCCAGUAGUC